UAUACUUUAUUAUAAGAUGUAUUAAAGUUUUUGAUUCUUUAGGUGAUAGUUUAAUUCUAUUAAGUAUAA
This 69-nucleotide transfer RNA is filed under the name Rhagophthalmus lufengensis. RNAcentral's name for it is "tRNA-Gln". The record is from RNAcentral. Lineage: Eukaryota; Metazoa; Arthropoda; Insecta; Coleoptera; Rhagophthalmidae.